RNAcentral lists this ribosomal RNA (905 nucleotides) under uncultured bacterium. Its description in RNAcentral is "bacterial SSU rRNA". It matches the Rfam family "Bacterial small subunit ribosomal RNA", at positions 9 to 873 of the family's 1533-position model. The record is from RNAcentral.
GAGUUUGAUCCUGGCUCAGAAUGAAACGCUGGCGGCGUGCUUAACACAUGCAAGUCGCACGAGAACGCUUCAGCUUGCUGAAGCUAGUAAAGUGGCGCACGGGUGAGUAACGCGUGGGUAAUCUACCUUUGAAUCGGGGAUAACUCCGCGAAAGCGGGGCUAAUACCGGAUGACAUUUUAGGGACUCCGGAUCUUAAAAUUAAAGAGGGCCUCUACAUGUAAGCUCUUGUUUGAAGAUUAGCCCGCGUACCAUUAGCUUGUUGGUAGAGUAACAGCCUACCAAGGCUUCGAUGGUUAGCUGGUCUGAGAGGAUGAUCAGCCACACUGGAACUGACACACGGUCCAGACUCCUACGGGAGGCAGCAGUGAGGAAUUUUGCGCAAUGGGGGAAACCCUGACGCAGCAACGCCGCGUGAGUGAUGAAGGCUUUCGGGUCGUAAAGCUCUGUCAAGUGGGAAGAAUCUAUCGCGUGUGAAUACCACGUGAUACUGACGGUACCACUGAAGGAAGCACCGGCUAACUCCGUGCCAGCAGCCGCGGUAAUACGGAGGGUGCAAGCGUUAUUCGGAAUUAUUGGGCGUAAAGGGCGCGUAGGCGGUCUCUUAAGUCAGAUGUGAAAUCCCGGGGCUUAACCCCGGAAGUGCAUUUGAAACGAAGGGACUUGAGUAUGGGGGAGGGAAGUGGAAUUCCUGGUGUAGAGGUGAAAUUCGUAGAUAUCAGGAGGAACACCGGUGGCGAAGGCGACUUCCUGGACCAAUACUGACGCUGAGGCGCGAAGGCGUGGGGAGCAAACAGGAUUAGAUACCCUGGUAGUCCACGCAGUAAACGGUGAACACUAGGUGUAGCGGGUAUUGACCCCUGCUGUGCCGGAGUUAACGCAUUAAGGUCCGCCUGGAAGACCCGAC